UUCAUUUGAUUAAUGUGGUUAGUUAUGGGUAAAAUGAGCAAAUAUUUCAAAUAAGCAAGUGGUUAUAAAAUACUCAUUGUUGUCGGAGAAUAUUCGUUUGGUCGUGGAAUAUUCUUGCUGUCGGGGAAUAUUCGUACGACGGCGCAGCCUUGUGUGGGCCCAUAACGAAAAGCGAUUGGAUGAAGAAAACGACAAGUAUAAGUUAUUUAUAAAUAACGGCGUAGUUAUUACCGUUAAUACUGUUGGAAUACCCGGUGGUUAAAACACAGUUAUACGCAUUAUUGCACAGUAGCACACGGUAUUGCACCAAUUAUUAAUUUUACGUAAGAAGGCACUACUCAAUAAUUGUUACAGUAAUUACUGUUCAAUAUUUUAUUUUAUUGAUUCAAUAAUUGCUGCGUUGAUAUUUUAUAUUACUGUUGUUUCAAUAAUUGUCACUACACAGUAUUUUCCAUUAUCGAAGCAAUAAUUCAUAUUAUCUGAAUAAUAUUAU
This 493-nucleotide long non-coding RNA is filed under the name Panax ginseng (ginseng). RNAcentral's name for it is "long non-coding RNA (PGIN_LNC001720)". Lineage: Eukaryota; Viridiplantae; Streptophyta; Magnoliopsida; Apiales; Araliaceae. The record is from RNAcentral.